UACGGGGGGGGCAAGCGUUGUUCGGAAUUACUGGGCGUAAAGGGCUCGUAGGCGGCCAACUAAGUCGGAUGUGAAAUCCCCAGGCUCAACCUGGGAACUGCAUCCGAUACUGGAUGGCUUGAAUUCGGGAGAGGGAUGCAGAAUUCCAGGUGUAGCGGUGAAAUGCGUAGAUAUGUGGAGGAAUACCGGUGGCGAAGGCGGCCUCCUGGCUUAAUACUGACGCUGAGGUGCGAAAGCGUGGGGAGCAAACAGG
Molecule: ribosomal RNA, 253 nt
Filed under: uncultured bacterium
Lineage: Bacteria
Description: partial 16S ribosomal RNA
Rfam family: Bacterial small subunit ribosomal RNA
Source: RNAcentral